AAAUUUAUGAGUUACAGAGGAUGUGCUUUUAGGUGUGUGGGGGUGCGGGCGCGUGUGUGCGGACACUAACCCAGCUGCGCUGCAGCUCACAGAGCUGCACCUUUGUCCCAUAAUGCAGUGGGGCGCCCCUUUUAACUACUGCCAGUUCUUAUCGCAGCAACACAUCAGAGGGUAUGCUGCCUUCCUCUGACAAGAAGAACCACGGGGUUUGGCCGGCAGACUGCAGCAGCGUAGGUGGAGGGGAAACUCACGCUGCCGGUCAGACCUGUUGGUAAAGCCCAGGUCAAAGCAGUGCAUGGAGCGCGGCGGUGACAAACUACGUGAUUUACUGUCUCAUGUGCAGCGAAGGUGUGUUUGAGUCACUUUGAUUCCUUGAACGUACGACCCAACUUUACCGAACUGUUCGCUCCGGUGAAAAGCAGUUCUAUAUGUUUUGUUUUGUUGUUUUCAAUCACUCUUUUCGAAGUUCUGAAUAUUUAGAGGGUAUAUUUAGGGAAGCUUCAAGAAAGUUUAUAAAGGUGUCCAUAUUGGAAGCGACUAAUAAUCUUUGAGUGACACUCCAAAGCAGAAUGUUAGGGGCUUAUUGGAUAUGUUGCUCUGGCAGAACUGAUAAAUGAUCAAUUAUUUGUUGCUUUGAAGUGCGAGAGUCGUACUAGGUGAAUUAGAAAAACUGUUCUGAUGAGGUGUACACAUUUUCAAAAGUACUUUUAAAAUAUUUUUCAACAUUUAUACAUUAAAAAUGUUCUCAUUACUGGUCUAAUUCUAGUUAAAAAAAUGCCAUGUCUUCCUAAUUUUGAGCAGAAAAUAAUCAUAGUUAACAUAAAUAAAGGCUUAAAAAUAGUCUGUGGCUAGUUAAUCUAUAUACUGUACUUAAUAUUGUAAGCUGAGUUACUGAAUUAAAUGACCUUUUCAGUAAGUGAAUGGGUUAGUGAAAACUCCUUUCAUACUCAAUGAGGCCUAGCAUCUCUAAUUGUGAAAUAGUCUGUUGUUAUUAUUUUACCAUUAUAUUAUCGUCAUUGUUUGGCAGCAAACAAUGACGAUUAAAUCCAAAUUGAGAAUCCGUGGUAAGAUUUGAAAACUGACGUUCAAAAAGUGUCUCCAUGCUUCUGUCUGGGCUUUCAUAAUAUUUCAUAAACAUGAUUUCCAGAAUGUGUAUGAAUUUCUGUCUGUAGAUAAUCAAAGCUGUUAGAAACAUACCUCAGGCUAGCAGUAGG
This is a long non-coding RNA of Xiphophorus couchianus (Monterrey platyfish), 1214 nucleotides long. RefSeq lists it as uncharacterized. The record is from RefSeq and is a predicted model, not a curated record. The transcript is spliced from 3 exons. NCBI's taxonomy places the organism in Eukaryota, Metazoa, Chordata, Actinopteri, Cyprinodontiformes, Poeciliidae.